RNAcentral lists this long non-coding RNA (515 nucleotides) under Ursus maritimus (polar bear). RNAcentral describes it as "lncRNA (ENSUMAG00000023596.1)". Lineage: Eukaryota; Metazoa; Chordata; Mammalia; Carnivora; Ursidae. The record is from RNAcentral.
AUGUGGACGCAUGGUGUUAACUGGAAAGCUGCAGCUGAAGUUAUGGUGCAAGGAAUGGGCAGGACCUGCCCAGCCAAUGUCAAAAUCGAGGCACGACUGACACCAGAUGCUGACCCAAAGGUAACUACUCAGGGGCAGGACGCUGAUCUGGGACACCUGCAGGAAGUCCCCAUUCCAGAGCAGGCCAGGACGAGUUUCUGUGAGAGCAAAGCAUCAGUGAGCUCUCGGAAGACUCUUUGCUGCUGUCCCGUCCUGGCAACCAGUUCUCAGGCUUGUGGGCCAGGUUUCCAGGCCAGGCUUGGCCAUCUUUCUCCCUCUCCGGACCCGAAGUCCUUGAGUGAGGCUUCAAGGAUGUUCCUCCCACUCCCUGAGCUACACUCACUGCAAGAGGCCACAGAGAAAACACAGCAUGCCAUCCACAGGCUCUGCAAGCUGGCAUUUGUGGUGGGUACGGAGAUCUGGAAAGCCGAGCAGUGGUUGCUUGGGGGAGGGGAGGGGGGAGGGCUUGAGCAAAC